Molecule: transfer RNA, 70 nt
Filed under: Loxodonta africana (African savanna elephant)
Lineage: Eukaryota; Metazoa; Chordata; Mammalia; Proboscidea; Elephantidae
Rfam family: tRNA
About the family: Transfer RNA (tRNA) molecules are approximately 80 nucleotides in length. Their secondary structure includes four short double-helical elements and three loops (D, anti-codon, and T loops). Further hydrogen bonds mediate the characteristic L-shaped molecular structure. tRNAs have two regions of fundamental functional importance: the anti-codon, which is responsible for specific mRNA codon recognition, and the 3' end, to which the tRNAs corresponding amino acid is attached (by aminoacyl-tRNA synthetases). tRNAs cope with the degeneracy of the genetic code in two manners: having more than one tRNA (with a specific anti-codon) for a particular amino acid; and 'wobble' base-pairing, i.e. permitting non-standard base-pairing at the 3rd anti-codon position.
Source: Rfam by way of RNAcentral
GCACUGGUGGUUCAGUGGUAGAAUUCUCACCUUCUAUGUGGGAGACCUGGGUUUGAUUCCAGCCAGGGCA